This 393-nucleotide ribosomal RNA is filed under the name uncultured bacterium. RNAcentral describes it as "bacterial SSU rRNA". It matches the Rfam family "Bacterial small subunit ribosomal RNA", at positions 505 to 898 of the family's 1533-position model. The record is from RNAcentral.
GUGCCAGCAGCCGCGGUAAUACGUAGGCAGCGAGCGUUGUUCGGAAUUACGGGGCGUAAAGAGUGUGUAGGCGGUGUUCUAAGUUCGGUGUGAAAUCUCUCGGCUUAACUGGGAGGGUGCGCCGAAAACUGGAAUGCUCGAACGUGGGAGAGGAAAGCGGAAUUCCUGGUGUAGCGGUGAAAUGCGUAGAUAUCAGGAGGAACACCUGCGGUGUAGACGGCUUUCUGGACCAUUGUUGACGCUGAGACACGAAAGCGUGGGUAGCAAACAGGAUUAGAUACCCUGGUAGUCCACGCCCUAAACGAUGCAUACUUGGUGUCGGCCAUUCAGUUGGUCGGUGCCGGAGCUAACGCGUUAAGUAUGCCGCCUGGGGAGUACGGUCGCAAGGCUGAA